Molecule: ribosomal RNA, 1964 nt
Filed under: Escherichia coli
Lineage: Bacteria; Pseudomonadati; Pseudomonadota; Gammaproteobacteria; Enterobacterales; Enterobacteriaceae
Description: partial 23S ribosomal RNA
Rfam family: Bacterial large subunit ribosomal RNA
Source: RNAcentral
GAGACACACGGCGGGUGCUAACGUCCGUCGUGAAGAGGGAAACAACCCAGACCGCCAGCUAAGGUCCCAAAGUCAUGGUUAAGUGGGAAACGAUGUGGGAAGGCCCAGACAGCCAGGAUGUUGGCUUAGAAGCAGCCAUCAUUUAAAGAAAGCGUAAUAGCUCACUGGUCGAGUCGGCCUGCGCGGAAGAUGUAACGGGGCUAAACCAUGCACCGAAGCUGCGGCAGCGACACUAUGUGUUGUUGGGUAGGGGAGCGUUCUGUAAGCCUGUGAAGGUGUGCUGUGAGGCAUGCUGGAGGUAUCAGAAGUGCGAAUGCUGACAUAAGUAACGAUAAAGCGGGUGAAAAGCCCGCUCGCCGGAAGACCAAGGGUUCCUGUCCAACGUUAAUCGGGGCAGGGUGAGUCGACCCCUAAGGCGAGGCCGAAAGGCGUAGUCGAUGGGAAACAGGUUAAUAUUCCUGUACUUGGUGUUACUGCGAAGGGGGGACGGAGAAGGCUAUGUUGGCCGGGCGACGGUUGUCCCGGUUUAAGCGUGUAGGCUGGUUUUCCAGGCAAAUCCGGAAAAUCAAGGCUGAGGCGUGAUGACGAGGCACUACGGUGCUGAAGCAACAAAUGCCCUGCUUCCAGGAAAAGCCUCUAAGCAUCAGGUAACAUCAAAUCGUACCCCAAACCGACACAGGUGGUCAGGUAGAGAAUACCAAGGCGCUUGAGAGAACUCGGGUGAAGGAACUAGGCAAAAUGGUGCCGUAACUUCGGGAGAAGGCACGCUGAUAUGUAGGUGAAGCGACUUGCUCGUGGAGCUGAAAUCAGUCGAAGAUACCAGCUGGCUGCAACUGUUUAUUAAAAACACAGCACUGUGCAAACACGAAAGUGGACGUAUACGGUGUGACGCCUGCCCGGUGCCGGAAGGUUAAUUGAUGGGGUUAGCGCAAGCGAAGCUCUUGAUCGAAGCCCCGGUAAACGGCGGCCGUAACUAUAACGGUCCUAAGGUAGCGAAAUUCCUUGUCGGGUAAGUUCCGACCUGCACGAAUGGCGUAAUGAUGGCCAGGCUGUCUCCACCCGAGACUCAGUGAAAUUGAACUCGCUGUGAAGAUGCAGUGUACCCGCGGCAAGACGGAAAGACCCCGUGAACCUUUACUAUAGCUUGACACUGAACAUUGAGCCUUGAUGUGUAGGAUAGGUGGGAGGCUUUGAAGUGUGGACGCCAGUCUGCAUGGAGCCGACCUUGAAAUACCACCCUUUAAUGUUUGAUGUUCUAACGUUGACCCGUGAUCCGGGUUGCGGACAGUGUCUGGUGGGUAGUUUGACUGGGGCGGUCUCCUCCUAAAGAGUAACGGAGGAGCACGAAGGUUGGCUAAUCCUGGUCGGACAUCAGGAGGUUAGUGCAAUGGCAUAAGCCAGCUUGACUGCGAGCGUGACGGCGCGAGCAGGUGCGAAAGCAGGUCAUAGUGAUCCGGUGGUUCUGAAUGGAAGGGCCAUCGCUCAACGGAUAAAAGGUACUCCGGGGAUAACAGGCUGAUACCGCCCAAGAGUUCAUAUCGACGGCGGUGUUUGGCACCUCGAUGUCGGCUCAUCACAUCCUGGGGCUGAAGUAGGUCCCAAGGGUAUGGCUGUUCGCCAUUUAAAGUGGUACGCGAGCUGGGUUUAGAACGUCGUGAGACAGUUCGGUCCCUAUCUGCCGUGGGCGCUGGAGAACUGAGGGGGGCUGCUCCUAGUACGAGAGGACCGGAGUGGACGCAUCACUGGUGUUCGGGUUGUCAUGCCAAUGGCACUGCCCGGUAGCUAAAUGCGGAAGAGAUAAGUGCUGAAAGCAUCUAAGCACGAAACUUGCCCCGAGAUGAGUUCUCCCUGACCCUUUAAGGGUCCUGAAGGAACGUUGAAGACGACGACGUUGAUAGGCCGGGUGUGUAAGCGCAGCGAUGCGUUGAGCUAACCGGUACUAAUGAACCGUGAGGCUUAACCUU